This 448-nucleotide ribosomal RNA is filed under the name uncultured bacterium. RNAcentral describes it as "bacterial SSU rRNA". It matches the Rfam family "Bacterial small subunit ribosomal RNA", at positions 328 to 792 of the family's 1533-position model. The record is from RNAcentral.
GUCCCAGACUCCUACGGGAGGCAGCAGUGGGGAAUAUUGCACAAUGGGGGGAACCCUGAUGCAGCGACGCCGCGUGGGUGAAGGAGUAUUUCGGUAUGUAAAGCCCUAUCAGCAGGGAAGAACAAUGACGGUACCUGACUAAGAAGCCCCGGCUAACUACGUGCCAGCAGCCGCGGUAAUACGUAGGGGGCAAGCGUUAUCCGGAUUUACUGGGUGUAAAGGGAGCGUAGACGGCAUGGCAAGUCAGAUGUGAAAGCCCGGGGCUCAACCCCGGGACUGCAUUUGAAACUGUCAGGCUGGAGUGCAGGAGAGGUAAGUGGAAUUCCUAGUGUAGCGGUGAAAUGCGUAGAUAUCAGGAGGAACACCGGCGGCGAAGGCGGCCUGCUGGACCGUGACUGACGUUGAGGCUCGAGAGCGUGGGGAGCAAACAGGAUUAGAUACCCGGGUA